This 259-nucleotide unclassified non-coding RNA is filed under the name uncultured fungus. Its description in RNAcentral is "partial contains small subunit ribosomal RNA, internal transcribed spacer 1, and 5.8S ribosomal RNA". The stretch from base 1 to 73 matches the Rfam family "Eukaryotic small subunit ribosomal RNA", at positions 1759 to 1831 of the family's 1831-position model. The record is from RNAcentral. Lineage: Eukaryota; Fungi.
GCAAACUUGGUCAUUUAGAGGAAGUAAAAGUCGUAACAAGGUUUCCGUAGGUGAACCUGCGGAAGGAUCAUUACCGAGUUUUCGGGCUUCGGCUCGACUCUCCCACCCUUUGUGAACGUACCUCUGUUGCUUUGGCGGCUCCGGCCGCCAAAGGACCUCCAAACUCCAGUCAGUAAACGCAGACGUCUGAUAAACAAGUUAAUAAACUAAAACUUUCAACAACGGAUCUCUUGGUUCUGGCAUCGAUGAAGAACGCAGC